UCUACUAUUAGAACGAUCCUCCGAAGCAUGUGCGGCUUCUAGCCAACAUGCUCGUACCUACAGACGUUUAAUCAGGCUCUUUUUUAACAGAUCUUCGAUACCUUAGCUAAAUACUCGUACGAAUAUGGUGAAUCAGAAGACAGCUUUCCGCUUCACAGGAUGGGAUAGUGCUGGCUAUCAGUUAAGCUCAUCUCGUGCACGUAGCUUCGAUGAAGACAUAUUGACGCGAAGCCAGAUAUGGGUACUCAAGGUCAUCGAGAGAACGACGCCCUACAGAUCAUCUACGAUGGAAUACUUCACAGGGCCCCGUAACUGCGUCAGCGAGACACCAAUCCACACGUAUAAACGAAAAUAGUAGCCCAUAAAGGCUAACCUGACCAUCUCGACGGGAAAAUUCGGCGCCGGCACAGCGCAUCGCGCCACGUCUCUGGCAAGCCUCACGUUGGGCCCACGCCUCCGAAACGGAUAAAAAAAGUCUCCAUAAUGCGUUGUAACGUCUUCUGGAUGCCGAAGUCGACCGCUCCCCUUAGAAUAACAUAAAGUGGUAGCUUCCUUCACCUUAAAGAAUAAAACGUUAAACAACGUUCGCUUACUCUUGACUCGCCAGGCUACGCCAUCCUUGAGUAUACACGCUAGAACGCAAGCCCCUCCCUCUAAUUGCUCAGAUAAAAGUCACUUUUCUGUGCCCUGUGUACUUCAGAGACGUUGUUUUGUACUACCAGCACUAUCAGGCUAAACAUUAGCGUUAGUGGGACCCCAAAAUCGUACCCGUGUAAGGUCGGAGCUCAGCGCGUUAAUUCUGGACAAAAUGCUCCUCCUACUUGACGAACUCUUCUGUGAUACUGGAUUGCAAUAGCCAAUAGGCUUGUAGUGGUGGUCGUUCCAAAUGAGGUAUCUCGCGUAGAGCGAGCGUGUGAUCGUCGCCAUCUGAAUUGGGAAUCCUCUGUUAAGAGCCAGUAACAGGAACCUAGAUUCAAGCAACUUUUUAGCGUUUCAGCCAACAUGAGGUCGGUAAGGUGUGGCCACCCGGGCCUUCACGGAAUUCUGAUGGCCAUGAUUGUGUGGCAUAGAAACACCAUUCCUUAAAGUUGCCAAGGUGCAUCUCUUUCAACAGUCACUUGCUCUCAGUACUUUUCCAGCUUUAUUAUUGUAUUGCUUGCAAAUACAAUCGAGCGAACAGUAUGGAACACCGAAACAGAUACAUGGCCUCUGACGCAUGGACAAGUAGAACAGUGGUCAACAUACCGGCGAUUUUAGACGAAGUUCAAAUGAAGCCCCUUCAGCGACUUUCUUACUGAUGAGACGAAACCGUGGUGUCGACGACAUGGCAUACUUUUUACUUCGUUAAUCGCAUGACACUGAUUUGAAGUAGGCGGACACGAGGAGAUCAAGGAACCAGAGAAGGGAACAAACUAAAUGGGAAAACUGGAAGACGGUGGAUAGAUAAACCGGGAUGUUAGUGCCUAACAAAGUUUUCGUCACGCCCUUUACCGUUGUAGGUGACGCAAGGAACUUUACAUACGACCAGUCGGCUUCAUGCCGUCAAAGUUUCCGAUGGUUUCUUUAAAUAGUUCUUAAACUCCUCCCCAUGCUGCAUUAGCGUAUCCGAAUUGUUAUCAUAUCCUGUUUGUCUAACCAAAGUAUUAGCAAACCGUCACAGAUAUCUAUGCAAGUUUUAUUUGACUUUCGGGCGUUGACUCGAUUUCCAGCAUGCUUGAAACGGAGAUCCCUUUGUUACCCAUGUUAAACCCAUAAGAAACCCACGUUAAACGGGUAAUAAAAUACGUUUCCCAUGUCAGCUAAUUUCCGUUUACUGCGUGGCAUAAAGACGAACAUCUUGUGAUGCAUUUGAAAGAUGGAAAACCGUCGGAAUGAUAAUUUCAUAACGCAGUACGAUUGCAUUGGAAAUGUCGUUUAGUUAACCGAAUUUGAUUGUUACGGCAAAACCAACAUUGCCUAUCUGUCAAUAACUAACCUAGCCUAGGUGUUUUCUUGCUGUCAACACACAUUAUGUGUGAUAAUAAUAAUAAUCGUGGAAGCAUCUACCUUUAGCUUCUGUUGGUUAAUGGUGAUUUUUUCGGCAUUUUAGGUUUCAGUAGCCGGUACCUAGCGCAGUAAACAAUGACCAUGAGUUGAAACAGUUUGGGCUGACGGAAAACGCCGAACAAAUACGACAGAAGUCUCUUGGUGGAUCUACUGGCUAAAAAGCCAAAGAACUCUGAAAAUAUGGGAGAAGUUCAAAAGGACCAGGUCUGUUUGGGAGCGUCGAGAAUGUGCUCAUGGAAGGACCCAAAGAGCAUGAAUUCGAGUAAGCUUGCAGGCGGCUUUCUUGCGAUGAAGGCAAAUGAAGUAUAUGCUUAUCUGCCUUGGUCCGCUCUGCCUUUGCUUUCCUGGCCGUCCUAGGGCUAGCGGACUCUGUCCGCGACGAUCAGGCUAAAAGAGCAAUCCGUGACUCGUAUUGCCUAUGAUUAGUGAAUAUAGGUGACGAUGAUUUCGAUCUAACUUCGAAUCCGUCUGCAGUUUAGGUCAACUCCGCCACUCGAACAAACCGCGGGGGCCUUCUGUUGGUGAUGAGUGGCACAUGACGCGGCAGGAAAAUUGUGCCCGCUACUUUAAUAUAAAAAGCAAAACUACUUUUCGAGUCACGUUCGCCUUUUGCAUUGCACUGGCAACUACUGGUAAUAAAUAGUUAUACAUGAUCGCAGUGGCAGUGAUAACAUUCUAGGUGAAGAAUCGGCUGGGUUAAUAUGUCGGAACGCAGCAGACUACAGUAUUCUAUAGUACAUUUAACAUCUAUCAGGUCAGUGUUCCCGUCGUGCGUGAACCAGUAAGUGGUAAAGUUAGUUAAUAUGCUAUUGUGUGUAGAACAUACGGCGCAAUUCCGAAGGCAUCGCUCGUCGAACGUUCAAAAUAUUGUAUAUAUAUACGCUUGGCAGUAAAUAACAGCAGUCUGACGUACUAUUUAUCUUUACUAACCAUCAUCGAUACUCGAGACAUUAUAUUACGAUGGAUUUACAGAAUUAUCUAAUAUAGGAUCGAAAAGCGUUUAGCUUAACGACCUGAAGCCAGCCAGCCGAGUGCCAAAGUUUGAAAAUGAGCGCGCUUUUAGCUUUGUGCCCAUAUCACUUUGCGUCCAUACGAUAACUGAUUAAUAAUUAACUCGAACGAAUGCAUUGGCGAAAAUCGCGCUGUUUGAAGUUGUGCCAGUUUCAGCCGCCGUUGGCUGCGACCGCGUUUCGUUAAAAUCACACGUACCCCAUGUGUAUAAAUAUUCGGCUGACGUCGCCGGCAUACAAACUUUUGGUUUCGAAUUGUUUGCUUUGAACGUGGCGUUAAAAAUAUCGUAACUGUGGCGCGCUUUCAGAGAUUGAAAGUGGAGAGAAAGAACAGGAAGGGAUCCUGCAGCGUAGAACUUAGCCUGGCUACGACAGUUGAACUUGGGACAAGUUUUGCAAUACUCUUUAUUAUUAUUAUUACUAUUAUAGGAGACGCGUGGGAUACGAUGAAAGGAAAAUGAGAAACUGUCUAUAGGCUUUAAGCAAAUAGACAACGCUAAUGGUUUACGACAGUGUACGUAGAAGUUAUAAAUUAUUUGUUAAUCGUAAUAAAACGCAACC
This is a long non-coding RNA of Varroa destructor (honeybee mite), 3617 nucleotides long. RefSeq lists it as uncharacterized. Lineage: Eukaryota; Metazoa; Arthropoda; Arachnida; Mesostigmata; Varroidae. The record is from RefSeq and is a predicted model, not a curated record.